UCACCACUCUGGCCUAUUGGCUUAGAUCAAGUGUAGUAUCUGUUCUUUUAGUCUUGAUCGACUAAACGCUAGCACUGCUAGCUAUCUCGAUUAUUCAAUCUUUGCCGCCCGGGUGGCCUGCUCCUCUGCUUGCACGAGCGGCUGCGAGAUGACGUUGCCACUGCAGUACUGGCUCAUGUCGUCGCGGGAU
Rhizoctonia solani AG-1 IA is the source of this 190-nucleotide small nuclear RNA. It matches the Rfam family "U2 spliceosomal RNA". From Rfam's summary of the family: U2 is a small nuclear RNA (snRNA) component of the spliceosome (involved in pre-mRNA splicing). Complementary binding between U2 snRNA (in an area lying towards the 5' end but 3' to hairpin I) and the branchpoint sequence (BPS) of the intron results the bulging out of an unpaired adenosine, on the BPS, which initiates a nucleophilic attack at the intronic 5' splice site, thus starting the first of two transesterification reactions that mediate splicing. NCBI's taxonomy places the organism in Eukaryota, Fungi, Basidiomycota, Agaricomycetes, Cantharellales, Ceratobasidiaceae. The record is from Rfam.